Molecule: ribosomal RNA, 401 nt
Filed under: uncultured fungus
Lineage: Eukaryota; Fungi
Description: eukaryotic LSU rRNA
Rfam family: 5.8S ribosomal RNA (bases 1-71)
Source: RNAcentral
GUGAGUCAUCGAAUCUUUGAACGCACCUUGCGCUCCUUGGUAUUCCGAGGAGCAUGCCUGUUUGAGUGUCAUCGAAUUCUCAACCAUUCUCUCUUUUCUGGGAGUAUGGCUUGGACUUGGGGGUUGCUGGCAGCACUGUCAGCUCUCCUUAAAUGUAUUAGCAAUCGAGUUGGCUAGUCUUUCGACGUACACGGCCUCGGACGUGAUAAUGAUCGUCGUGGCUGGAGCGUCUUUCCUAGACUAUGUACAUAGAUCGCUUCUUAAUCUGUCGUCUAUCGAGCUUAGCUACUAGGCAGUCUUUUUGGCUGGUCGAACGCAAGCGAGACAUUCACAUUCUCAGAGACUUGACCUCAAAUCAGGUAGGACUACCCGCUGAACUUAAGCAUAUCAAUAAGCGGAGG